Molecule: ribosomal RNA, 226 nt
Filed under: uncultured bacterium
Lineage: Bacteria
Description: partial 16S ribosomal RNA
Rfam family: Bacterial small subunit ribosomal RNA
Source: RNAcentral
ACGUUAUUCGGAAUCACUGGGCUUAAAGCGCGUGUAGGCGGGAGGGAACGUCGGCCGCUGAAAUCCCCCGGCUUAACCGGGGAAGGGGCGCCGAUACGGCCUCCCUGGAGGGACGCAGGGGGAGCUGGAACUUCCGGUGGAGCGGUGAAAUGCGUUGAGAUCGGAAGGAACGCCCGCGGCGAAGGCGAGCUCCUGGACGUCUGCUGACGCUGAGACGCGAAAGCGU